Molecule: ribosomal RNA, 759 nt
Filed under: uncultured Inocybe
Lineage: Eukaryota; Fungi; Basidiomycota; Agaricomycetes; Agaricales; Cortinariaceae
Description: partial 28S ribosomal RNA
Rfam family: Eukaryotic large subunit ribosomal RNA
Source: RNAcentral
GAAUCCCGUCUUUGACAUGGACUGCCUGUACAUUAUGGUGCGCUCUCAAAGAGUCGAGUUGUUUGGGAAUGCAGCUCAAAAUGGGUGGUAAAUUCCAUCUAAAGCUAAAUAUUGGCGAGAGACCGAUAGCGAACAAGUACCGUGAGGGAAAGAUGAAAAGAACUUUGGAAAGAGAGUUAAACAGUACGUGAAAUUGCUGAAAGGGAAACGUUUGAAGUCAGUCUCGUUGGCUAGAAAUCAGCCUUGCUUUUGCUUGGUGUACUUUCUGGUUGACGGGUCAGCAUCAAUUUUGACCAUUGGAUAAAGUCGUUGGGAAUGUGGCAUCUUCGGAUGUGUUAUAGCCCAUUGUCGCAUACAACGAUUGGGAUUGAGGAACUCAGCACGCCGCAAGGCCGGGUACUUGUACCACGUUCGUGCUUAGGAUGCUGGCAUAAUGGCUUUAAUCGACCCGUCUUGAAACACGGACCAAGGAGUCUAACAUGCCUGCGAGUGUUUGGGUGGAAAACCCGGACGCGUAAUGAAAGUGAAAGUUGAGAUCCCUGUCGUGGGGAGCAUCGACGCCCGGACCAGACCUUUUGUGACGGAUCCGCGGUAGAGCAUGUAUGUUGGGACCCGAAAGAUGGUGAACUAUGCCUGAAUAGGGUGAAGCCAGAGGAAACUCUGGUGGAGGCUCGUAGCGAUUCUGACGUGCAAAUCGAUCGUCAAAUUUGGGUAUAGGGGCGAAAGACUAAUCGAACCAUCUAGUAGCUGGUUCCUGCC